AUGAACGCUAGCGGCAGGCCUAACACAUGCAAGUCGUACGGCAGCACAGGUAGCAAUACUGGGUGGCGAGUGGCGCACGGGUGCGUAACACGUAUGCAACUUACCCUUAACUGGAAAAUAGCUCAGAGAAAUCUGAAUUAAUGUUCCAUAACGUUUCUAAGAGGCAUCUCUUGGUUUCUAAAGCUCAGGCGGUUAAGGAUAGGCAUGCGGCCCAUUAGCUUGUUGGUGAGGUAACGGCUCACCAAGGCUACGAUGGGUAGGGGGUCUGAGAGGACUAACCCCCACACUGGUACUGAGACACGGACCAGACUCCUACGGGAGGCAGCAGUGAGGAAUAUUGGUCAAUGGACGCAAGUCUGAACCAGCCAUGCCGCGUGAAGGAUGACUGCCCUAUGGGUUGUAAACUUCUUUUCUACGGGAAUAAACCCCUCUACGUGUAGAGGGCUGAAGGUACCGUAGGAAUAAGCACCGGCUAACUCCGU
RNAcentral lists this ribosomal RNA (482 nucleotides) under uncultured bacterium. RNAcentral's name for it is "bacterial SSU rRNA". It matches the Rfam family "Bacterial small subunit ribosomal RNA", at positions 29 to 506 of the family's 1533-position model. The record is from RNAcentral.